CCAGAAUCAGGGCAGUGAUCGUGACAAAGGCCAGGGUCGCGCGGUCGGGCAUCAGAUUGGCUAGCACUACGACGAUACCCGAGGUAGAUGACACACAUUAUCUGUUUCUCUUACGACAAAAUCUCGCACGAGUAAUACGGUACGUAACGAAUAAUAGAAGUGACCGACUAAGAAGAAAAUGCAAAGGAGCCGCAUGAGAAAAGGUUUAGAGGGAUGAAGAGAUUCAGACAUUUAAGUAACCUCCAGAGAACUCCAUUCUUCUUAACGAUUGUAAAAGAAACAUCUCAGAAAAUUACUUUCUGUUAAGCAGUUAACGACGGAUUGAAGGUAAACCUAGAACAGAUUCUGUCCAUUUUAUUUGUCAAUCGUGAGAAACGUAAUUUUCAUAAUACAUUGAUUUUAUUUUUAAUUUAUAUUCUUACAAGUUAUGACAUUUUUAGCUAAUUUUAACUAAUCUUACAAAUAAAUAUUAAUCCGAUAAAUAUUUAUCAUCAA
Monomorium pharaonis (pharaoh ant) is the source of this 495-nucleotide long non-coding RNA. RefSeq lists it as uncharacterized. NCBI's taxonomy places the organism in Eukaryota, Metazoa, Arthropoda, Insecta, Hymenoptera, Formicidae. The transcript has 2 exons. The record is from RefSeq and is a predicted model, not a curated record.